Long non-coding RNA from Rosa rugosa (rugosa rose), 1646 nucleotides. RefSeq lists it as uncharacterized. Lineage: Eukaryota; Viridiplantae; Streptophyta; Magnoliopsida; Rosales; Rosaceae. The record is from RefSeq and is a predicted model, not a curated record. The transcript is spliced from 6 exons.
CGUACUCUUCUCUCCCCCUCUCCCCGUGUUCUCUCUCUUCCUCUCUGCCAUCCCCACAAAACACAGUUUCCGACCACCACUUCACGUCACCACCACCAACCGAUCCAACACCCAAAACCGACCAAAGCCCAAGAGAAAUCGCUGCCAUGCACCGCCUAUAGCCACCACAAGCGACCACCACAGUCCCCGUCGCCUUGUCUAGCCGAAACUUCUAUUUUUCGGCAGUCUCUUCAACACACAACCACCAUCGCUUAGUCCAGCUGACAUCGAUCAUCCUAUUCUAGAAAUUCCGUCUCCGAUCGACGCUGUACGCUCAUCGUCGGAGCCCACGGCUCUGCAUGUCUUUGCUUUCCAAUCUCCAGUCAAUCUCAGGCUACACGACUGUCAUAGAUGAAAACAGCACGCCUUCUUCUACCAAAAACUCCAUGGUUCAGACCUCUAACUCCUGCCAGAACCACCGCAGGCGCCACCGCCAGUGCGUGAGCUACCCAGCGCCGCUGUGGGCGCAACCGGCUUACUCCUUUCAUCUGGUAAGCUGGAUUUCUCGUCACCCGCUUCAUUGUCAAGGCUCCAUUUUUAUUUGGAUUGAGAACCCUAAUUCUAUCGAAUUGGACUGUGUGAGGUUUUUGAAUCUGUGAUUGGAAGCUUUGGAAUAGAGAGAGAGCUAUUGGGACAGUUUCGAUUGAUAUCGAGGAAAGGGAGUUCGAAUGGUCAGUGAUGUUGAAAUGCUGCUAUGACAAAAUGAUCUCUACUUUGGGGAAAGAAGAAUGGACUCGAGCGUGUGCACAUGGAAUUAGACGAAGUAUCCAAAGUCGGAAACGAAACUAAGUUUGGGCGAGAACUCCAUAUCCAGACUUGCAUGUUGAGAUACUGUACCCAUUGUAUGUUUGUGCUUGUGACCUAAAAGUGAAUGGGACCUAGACGCGUUGAUUCCUAGGGAUCCCACGGUGUCGAUAACUGUGAACUUCCGGAGGGGGCUGUGCUCCUAUGUUUGUCGAGAAAUGGUGAGUACCGACAGUGAACCAGUCAUAUGACACUCAGGGCUAUGAAAUGGACACUUUCGCUACUUGUAGUCACAAGGACUACAGAGUAGUUGGCCGAUUCUCAAAGGAUGACGAACCGGGUCGGUCACCGAUUGUUUUAGAGUAGCAGGCAGUGUGCAGGUUUCGAGCAUGUGGUUGGGGAGCGUACAGAGGAGGCACAUGGCCCGACUUGGCGCAUUUGGUCCUGGCUUUUUAUAGGUCAGGGUACAGUUCCUGUCUGCUGAAGGCAAAACCCUUGCCAGUUUGAGCCAUCCAUGCAUGUUAUAUUUUAAAAGUGAGCCAUCCGUGCAGAAUACAAUCCUAGCGUAUUCCCUAAAUAUACGAUGCAUCCAUGACCCUUGAAUCAGAACUUCCCCUGUUUAAAAGGAUUAUAUGGAACUGGAGGAGAACUUUAUUUGUUUGCUGUAAAAGUAGGAGAGAUACUAAUUCAACCAGUUACUUGAACAAGUUGAUUAGUUAGCUUAAAUUCUUUUCUGAUAUUUGUGUUGGAUGUACCUGUUGGGAAAUAUGAAAUUCUUAUUAAAUUGAUCGUCUUAUCCUGAUUAGAUGAAACUUGAUAGUUUGUACUGAGGAGAAGAAAUAAUAAAGUUUGUUUUUGUAGUU